Cygnus olor (mute swan) is the source of this 249-nucleotide long non-coding RNA. RefSeq lists it as uncharacterized. The transcript has 2 exons. NCBI's taxonomy places the organism in Eukaryota, Metazoa, Chordata, Aves, Anseriformes, Anatidae. The record is from RefSeq and is a predicted model, not a curated record.
GUCUUUGCAAGGUCCAAACAUUCUUCACAGUGUCCUGGAAACAAGCUUGUGGCUCAGCUGACCACCCUUUACUUCUCUCGUCCCAGAGAAUCAGAAGCUGUUUGGAGCCCAGUCUCGCGAUGCUGCAGACUGGCUGUGUUGAAGAUACUGCAGCUGAAGAAAUUGCUGACAUAGGACAUCGACUUCGGAAAAAUGGCUUUAAUUUAGUUAAAUGUCAUUAAAGUUUUUGUGAUUGUUACAGCAAAUGCA